RNAcentral lists this ribosomal RNA (866 nucleotides) under Cronobacter sp. AG5. RNAcentral's name for it is "bacterial SSU rRNA". It matches the Rfam family "Bacterial small subunit ribosomal RNA", at positions 117 to 983 of the family's 1533-position model. The record is from RNAcentral. Lineage: Bacteria; Pseudomonadati; Pseudomonadota; Gammaproteobacteria; Enterobacterales; Enterobacteriaceae.
CUGGGAACUGCCUGAUGGAGGGGGAAACUAAAGGAAAAGGUAGCUAAUACCGCAUAACGUCGCAAGACCAAAGUGGGGGACCUUCGGGCCUCAUGCCAUCAGAUGUGCCCAGAUGGGAUUAGCUAGUAGGUGGGGUAACGGCUCACCUAGGCGACGAUCCCUAGCUGGUCUGAGAGGAUGACCAGCCACACUGGAACUGAGACACGGUCCAGACUCCUACGGGAGGCAGCAGUGGGGAAUAUUGCACAAUGGGCGCAAGCCUGAUGCAGCCAUGCCGCGUGUAUGAAGAAGGCCUUCGGGUUGUAAAGUACUUUCAGCGAGGAGGAAGGGGUUAAGGUUAAUAACCUUGGCCAUUGACGUUACUCGCAGAAGAAGCACCGGCUAACUCCGUGCCAGCAGCCGCGGUAAUACGGAGGGUGCAAGCGUUAAUCGGAAUUACUGGGCGUAAAGCGCACGCAGGCGGUCUGUCAAGUCGGAUGUGAAAUCCCCGGGCUCAACCUGGGAACUGCAUCCGAAACUGGCAGGCUUGAGUCUCGUAGAGGGGGGUAGAAUUCCAGGUGUAGCGGUGAAAUGCGUAGAGAUCUGGAGGAAUACCGGUGGCGAAGGCGGCCCCCUGGACGAAGACUGACGUCAGGUGCGAAAGCGGGGGAGCAAACAGGAUUAGAUACCCUGGUAGUCCACGCCGUAAACGAUGUCGACUUGGAGGUUGUGCCCUUGAGGCGUGGCUUCCGGAGCUAACGCGUUAAGUCGACCGCCUGGGGAGUACGGCCGCAAGGUUAAAACUCAAAUGAAUUGACGGGGGCCCGCACAAGCGGUGGAGCAUGUGGUUUAAUUCGAUGCAACGCGAAGAACCUUACCUGGUCUUG